GCCUGAUCCAGCCAUGCCGCGUGCAGGAUGACGGUCCUAUGGAUUGUAAACUGCUUUUGUACGAGAAGAAACACUCCUACGUGUAGGAGCUUGACGGUAUCGUAAGAAUAAGGAUCGGCUAACUCCGUGCCAGCAGCCGCGGUAAUACGGAGGAUCCGAGCGUUAUCCGGAAUCAUUGGGUUUAAAGGGUCCGUAGGCGGUUUAGUAAGUCAGUGGUGAAAGCCCAUCGCUCAACGGUGGAACGGCCAUUGAUACUGCUGAACUUGAAUUAUUAGGAAGUAACUAGAAUAUGUAGUGUAGCGGUGAAAUGCUUAGAGAUUACAUGGAAUACCAAUUGCGAAGGCAGGUUACUACUAAUGGAUUGACGCUGAUGGACGAAAGCGUGGGUAGCGAACAGGAUUAGAUACCCUGGUAGUCCACGCCGUAAACGAUGGAUACUAGCUGUUGGAAGCAAUUUCAGUGGCUAAGCGAAAGUGAUAAGUAUCCCACCUGGGGAGUACGUUCGCAAGAAUGAAACUCACAGGAAUUGACGGGGGCCCGCACAAGCGGUGGAGCAUGUGGUUUAAUUCGAUGAUACGCGAGGAACCUUACCAAGGCUUAAAUGUAAAUUGACCGGUUUGGAAACAGAUCUUUCG
This 635-nucleotide ribosomal RNA is filed under the name Flavobacterium sp. So3Ps_1815. RNAcentral's name for it is "bacterial SSU rRNA". It matches the Rfam family "Bacterial small subunit ribosomal RNA", at positions 381 to 1017 of the family's 1533-position model. The record is from RNAcentral. Lineage: Bacteria; Pseudomonadati; Bacteroidota; Flavobacteriia; Flavobacteriales; Flavobacteriaceae.